RNAcentral lists this ribosomal RNA (558 nucleotides) under Monosporascus sp. RNAcentral describes it as "LSU rRNA". It matches the Rfam family "Eukaryotic large subunit ribosomal RNA", at positions 71 to 650 of the family's 3401-position model. The record is from RNAcentral. Lineage: Eukaryota; Fungi; Ascomycota; Sordariomycetes; Xylariales.
GGGAUUGCCCUAGUAACGGCGAGUGAAGCGGCAACAGCUCAAAUUUGAAAUCUGGCCUUCGGGUCCGAGUUGUAAUUUGUAGAGGAUGCUUUUGGUGAGAUACCUUCCGAGUUCCUUGGAACAGGACGCCUUAGAGGGUGAGAGCCCCGUACGGUUGGAUAUCAAGCCUCUGUAAAGCUCCUUCGACGAGUCGAGUAGUUUGGGAAUGCUGCUCUAAAUGGGAGGUAAAUUUCUUCUAAAGCUAAAUACCGGCCAGAGACCGAUAGCGCACAAGUAGAGUGAUCGAAAGAUGAAAAGUACUUUGAAAAGAGGGUUAAAUAGCACGUGAAAUUGUUGAAAGGGAAGCGUUUAUGACCAGACCUUUGCCUGGCGGAUCAUCCGGUGUUCUUCACCGGUGCACUUCGCCUGGCUUAGGCCAGCAUCGAUUUUCGUAGGGGGAUAAAGACCGCGGGAAUGUGGCUCUCUUCGGGGAGCGUUAUAGCCCGCGGUGUAAUACCCUUAUGGGGAUCGAGGUUCGCGCUUUUGCAAGGAUGCUGGCAUAAUGGUCAUCAACGACCC